This 531-nucleotide ribosomal RNA is filed under the name bacterium enrichment culture clone Jdg018. RNAcentral's name for it is "bacterial SSU rRNA". It matches the Rfam family "Bacterial small subunit ribosomal RNA", at positions 1 to 527 of the family's 1533-position model. The record is from RNAcentral.
UUAGAGUUUGAUCAUGGCUCAGAUUGAACGCUGGCGGCAGGCCUAACACAUGCAAGUCGAACGGUAACAGGAAACAGCUUGCUGUUUCGCUGACGAGUGGCGGACGGGUGAGUAAUGUCUGGGAAACUGCCUGAUGGAGGGGGAUAACUACUGGAAACGGUAGCUAAUACCGCAUAACGUCGCAAGACCAAAGAGGGGGACCUUCGGGCCUCUUGCCAUCGGAUGUGCCCAGAUGGGAUUAGCUAGUAGGUGGGGUAACGGCUCACCUAGGCGACGAUCCCUAGCUGGUCUGAGAGGAUGACCAGCCACACUGGAACUGAGACACGGUCCAGACUCCUACGGGAGGCAGCAGUGGGGAAUAUUGCACAAUGGGCGCAAGCCUGAUGCAGCCAUGCCGCGUUAUGAAGAAGGCCUUCGGGUUGUAAAGUACUUUCAGCGGGGAGGAAGGGAGUAAAGUUAAUACCUUUACUCAUUGACGUUACCCGCAGAAGAAGCACCGGCUAACUCCGUGCCAGCAGCCGCGGUAAUACA